Molecule: ribosomal RNA, 492 nt
Filed under: uncultured Eubacteriales bacterium
Lineage: Bacteria; Bacillati; Bacillota; Clostridia; Eubacteriales
Description: bacterial SSU rRNA
Rfam family: Bacterial small subunit ribosomal RNA
Source: RNAcentral
UCAUGGCUCAGGAUGAACGCUGGCGGCGUGCCUAACACAUGCAAGUCGAGCGGUAUAUAGUGGAAUGAAACUUCGGUCGAGUGAAGCUAUAGAGAGCGGCGGACGGGUGAGUAACGCGUAGGCAACCUGCCCCAUACAGAGGGAUAGCCUCGGGAAACCGGGAUUAAAACCUCAUAACGCAGAGAGUUCACAUGGACUAUCUGCCAAAGAUUCAUCGGUAUGGGAUGGGCCUGCGUCUGAUUAGCUAGUUGGUGAGGUAACGGCUCACCAAGGCGACGAUCAGUAGCCGACCUGAGAGGGUAAUCGGCCACAUUGGAACUGAGACACGGUCCAAACUCCUACGGGAGGCAGCAGUGGGGAAUAUUGCACAAUGGGCGAAAGCCUGAUGCAGCAACGCCGCGUGAGCGAUGAAGGCCUUUGGGUCGUAAAGCUCUGUCCUUGGGGAAGAAACAAAUGACGGUACCCUUGGAGGAAGCCCCGGCUAACUACGUG